CCUACGGGCGGCAGCAGUGGGGAAUAUUGCACAAUGGGGGAAACCCUGAUGCAGCGACGCCGCGUGAGUGAAGAAGUAAUUCGGUAUGUAAAGCUCUAUCAGCAGGGAAGAAAAUGACGGUACCUGAGUAAGAAGCCCCGGCUAACUACGUGCCAGCAGCCGCGGUAAUACGUAGGGGGCAAGCGUUAUCCGGAUUUACUGGGUGUAAAGGGAGCGUAGGCGGCAGUGCAAGUCUGGAGUGAAAGGCGGGGGCUCAACCCCCGGACUGCUCUUGAAACUGUACGGCUGGAGUGCAGGAGAGGUAAGUGGAAUUCCUAGUGUAGAGGUGAAAUGCGUAGAUAUUAGGAGGAACACCAGUGGCGAAGGCGGCUUACUGGACUGUAACUGACGUUGAGGCUCGAAAGCGUGGGGAGCAAACAGGAUUAGAUACCCCAGUAGUC
This 440-nucleotide ribosomal RNA is filed under the name uncultured bacterium. RNAcentral describes it as "partial 16S ribosomal RNA". It matches the Rfam family "Bacterial small subunit ribosomal RNA", at positions 338 to 795 of the family's 1533-position model. The record is from RNAcentral.